RNAcentral lists this unclassified non-coding RNA (178 nucleotides) under uncultured Herpotrichiellaceae. Its description in RNAcentral is "sequence contains ITS2". The record is from RNAcentral. Lineage: Eukaryota; Fungi; Ascomycota; Eurotiomycetes; Chaetothyriales; Herpotrichiellaceae.
UCACCCCUCAAGCCCCGUGCUUGGUGUUGGACGGCUUGGUCGAGUCACCUCGACCCCUCCUAAAGAUAACGACGGCGGCCUGUGGUUCCCCCGGUACACUGAGCUUUUAACUGAGCACGUAUCGGAUGAGGGUGCCCGGGACCCCGGUCUCCUCCUUUCAUUAGGAACAUUUUUUCAA